GCGUAUGCGGUAGUGCAACGGUUAGCAUACGCUCCCGGAAAGCGUGAGAUCUGGGUUCGAAUCCCGGCUGACGCA
Molecule: non-coding RNA, 75 nt
Organism: Parelaphostrongylus tenuis
Lineage: Eukaryota; Metazoa; Nematoda; Chromadorea; Rhabditida; Metastrongylidae
Source: the annotation of a GenBank genome assembly